UCAAGAAAUGAAAUGAAUCUUUUUCUGUUAUCUCUCUCAUUCUCUCAAACUUUCUCCCUCUUUCUUGCUGUUUCACUCCAUAUCCGUCUGAAUUCUCCCUCGAAAUUCCCUCUAAUUCCCAAUUUUUCCUAAACAACCCCUCGUCAAAUCCAAAGAUCUGAUAAUUGGUAACAAAGCAAGGUGAUUCCAGCCUUGUCAACGGCGAUCACAACACUAGGGUAAAGCAAUUUUGGGUGAUUGGGCUUUAUCAUGAUGGCUAUCAAGUUUUGGGGUGUUCAGCUAUUGGAGAUACAAGUAAUAGUCUGCAGAUCAGAUUGGAUCAUUGGUAAUUGGGUUGAUCAAGGCUGACCGAUAGAUUAAGAGGAUGGUUGGCUGGGGGAACUAGAAUGAAACAGUUGGAAACCCGGUUGGAUGCGAUGAAGAUUGGGUUUUGUCAGAAUCAAGAGCAGUUGGAGGAUCAAUUGGAGUCGAUGGAGUUAGGCCUUCGUUAGACUUAGGAAGAGGUGAGUCGUGGCAGGGAAAAAAAUCUUGCCACUCGAAAGGUGAUGCUAUCGUCGGAGAAGAGUGUCCGAGCGGAGGUUGCUAGCGUGUGAGAAGAUGUAGCGAGCCUCAAAGGAGAAUUCGCCAGAAUUGGCCAGCAAUUGAGCACUGUCCAGAGUGUGUUUUCUUGGCUGCCUAAUGCGAGCUUACCGGUGGACUUCCCUCCAAGGUCCACCACAGCUCCGAUCCUGGCGGGAUCAAGAUUCCAACGGCACGCUCCUAAUCCUCUGGAAACAGAGGAGCGAUCAGAAUUUGUACCAGAGACUUCCACCAGAGGAGUGCAUGCAAAUCAGUUUCAUACUCCAAUGCCAAGUACGGAGAUUCUGGCAUUCAAGGGUGACAAACCCAGGGGCGGAUUUAGGGGGGGGCAGGCACGGGCUGCAGCCCCCCCCAAGAUUCAGCCCUCCCCCAGAUUUGCAAGGGAGGAGGGCUGAAAUGGGUUAUGGAUCUGGGGGCCAGCCCUCCCCCAGAUCUACUCCUAGAUCCGCCCCUGGACAAACCACGAUGCUGGAUUGGACGUUAUGAGUGGUUCCUACAACAUUAUCAGGUGGGAGAAGGCCAGAGGGUGAAUCAGGCUGCCACUUACCUUAACGAUGUAGCGGAUGCUUGGUUUCAAGGCUAGAGCAGAAGGAGAAUUGGCAUGAGUUCGUGGAGGCUUUUUGUGCUCAUUGUUCAAUGGGUGCUUACCUUCACUUCUUGUUGUCCAAACUGUUGGAAUUAAUGGGUCUUAAAUAUGUGAAUUGGAAAAGUCUUCAAGACUAGACUCAUACGGGAUGCAGGUGAGUGGACAUGUCCGUCGGGUGAGUGAACAUGUCUAUUUGGAUGUAAAAGGUGUAAGGGAAGAGAUAUAUACCUUUGCCAAAGGGUGCAAUCUGGACCGCCAAGUCGCUACCAAAUAUGAAAGGAUGCGAUCUGAAGACCAAGAUUAAACUGGGUCAAACAACAUGACCUUUCACAAUUGGACACUUGAGAAUGGGUCAAAUAACAUGACCUUUCACACCCCACAUAUUUCAUUUUCUCCAUCCAAAAAUCAAUUCAAGUAAAUUGAUUUCUUUCUUUCCUCCUCCAACCUCUCAGAAAUUGUUACAGUUGCAACAACGCAUUGAACACGGGGAGUUGGGGUCCGAUUGGAUUGUACGCAAUGGGCUGAUUUUUUUUAAGGGCAAGCACUGUAUGGUGUGCCAGCGUUAUAAAUGGCAAAACUUGCAGCCCGCCGGACUACUUCAGCCUCUUAUGGUGCCACAACAGGUUUGGGCUGACAUCUCUAUGGAUUUCGUGGAGGGGUUACCUAAGGUUCGGGGUAAAUCAGUUCUUAUGGUGGUGGUUGAUCGGCUUUCAAAGUAUGCCCAUUUUUUACCCUUAGCUCAUCCAUUAACUGCUAUAUCUGUUGCUACUACUUUCUUUGCAGAAAUGUUUAGACUCCAUGGCUUGCCUGAAUCAAUAGUGUAAUACCCUAAGAGCCCGAAGAAUGGUAGUAUAUAUAGAGGAUAAGUAAGGAAUGAAACAACACCAGCUAGAUAACUUUUGGGCUGAAUAUAGGCAAAGAACUCCUGGAUUAAGCGUGCUUGAGCUGGGGAAGCUCAAGGAUGGGUUACCCCUGGAAAGUUCGUGUAGGCCCAUCAGGGUAAAUUGUUCCGGUGCUUCCUAUCGCUCGAUGCGGGAUGUUACAGGUGGUAUCAGAGCUGACCCUUAGUGAAGGCGAUUCGAUGAGGGUGGGGAGUGGCGCCGAGGCAUGAGGGCCUGUACAAGGAGUGGCUCCUGAUAGGUUUCUAGGAUGGCAGCCCCCAAAGGGGAGAAGAUCUGAGACCAGUUGUAAGGUCGCACGAUGAGAACGUCAUGUGCUCAAGGGGGGGAGAAUGUAAUAUCCUAAGAGUCUAGAGAAUGGUAGUAUAUAUCGAGGAUAAGUAAGGAAGGAAACAACACUAGCUGGAUACCUUUUGGGCUGAAUGUAAACAAAGAACUCUCGGGUUAAGCGUACUUGAGCUGGGGAAGCUCAAGGAUGGGUGACCCCUGGAACGUUCAUGUAAGUUCAUCAGGGUAAGUUGUUCUGGUGCUUCCUAUCGCUCGAUGCGGGAUGUUACAAAUAGUCUUGAACCAAGACAAGGUUUUCCUUAGUUUGGAAGGAGCUAUUUUGCCUUAGUGGUUCCAAAUUGGCCUUCUCUUCAACUUACCAUCCUCAAUUUGAUGGUUAAAUCGAGGUGGUUAAUCGAAUUAUAGAGAUGUACCUACGAUGUCUCACAGGAGAUUGACCGAAACAGUGGGUUGAUUGGAUACCCUGGGCUAAAUAUUGCUACAACACCUCUUAUCACAUUGCUCUUGGCACCACCCCGUUUCAGUUGGUUUAUGGCAGGGAACCUCCUCAGCUUCUUUCUUAUUCAGCGGGUUCUACGAGGGUUAAAGCAGUCGAUCAAGCUCUCCCAGAGCAAGAUGCAGCACUUACAGCUGCUCGUGAUAGGCUUUUGCAAGCCCAACAGAGGAUGAAGAACACUUAUGAUUCUAGGCAUCGAGAGUUGAGUUUUACAGUUGGAGAAUGGGUAUGGUUGCGACUUCAACCAUACUAUCAGCUCACUGUAGCAAGACAGAAGUAUCAUAAACUUUUUCCGAAGUAUUUUGGACCCUUCCAAAUCCUGGCCAAAGUAGGCCCUAUUGCUUACAAGCUUGAGCUUCCAGUGGGCAGUCGAAUACAUGAUGUGUUCCACAUGUCUCUCCUCAAGGAGUAUAAAGGACCUCCACCAACUACGAUGGGCACUUUACCACCAAUACGAGAUGGCAAGGUUUUAGCCACCCCUAAGCUAUUAUUCACAGCAAACUCAAUAGAGGCAACCGGGAGCUGUUAGUACAGUGGGCAGGACACGCUCAUGAGGAUGCGACAUGGGAACCGGUUGACCACUUCCAGGCAGCUUAUCCAGACUUUGAGCUUGAGGACAAGCUCAAGUUCGAGAGGGAAAGUGAUGAUAUGGAUGCUUUUAUUGGAAGGCAUUAUCAAAAAAGGAAAUCAAUAGCAGUGAAUCCAUAGUGAUUGCUUGCCCAUUAAAAGUUUAUUUUUUAUUCCUUUCUUGUUUUAUUUUGAUGGCCAAGAUCCUAAAUCAGAUCCUAAAAUUUAGGAUCUAUUUUUCCUUAGUAAUUAGCAGCCUAUUAUUUAGGAUUUAUCUUUCCAUUGUUAUUGAGCUGCCUAUAUAAAGGGCUUUAUUAUGGAAUAAGAGGGGGAUAUCGAUUCUCUCAAAAGAAAUUAGUUUCUCUUAGGAGGGGGCUCCGUCAAGGACGAGUCUGCCUUCACCAAUUCACCAUAGCUCCAAAAAAAGAUUCUCUCGUGUCUAGACCUGUGACUAGAUCCUACGCCAAGGCUCAUAACACAACACCAACAACUUUAUAAGCAACAUUAUAACACGUAAUGACAUGCCCAUGAUCAAACUCAUGUAAGUUUUCAAACUAGUGUUUAUGAGAUGUGACAUGAAAAGACGCAUCGAAGUCUAGAAUCCACUCAUGCAUAUAGGAGUUCAUAGAUAGGUUAAUUUCAGAGGGUUCAUGGUUCAUCAACGUGUAUACCUCCCUAGUAUCACAUUGGGAAGAUAUAACAUUGGCCUCACUCGUUUCUUUCUCUUUUUGUUUAUUUUUCUCUGCAUAGCAAUCUUUUAUAAAAUGCCCUAGUUUUCCACAACCAUAGCAUUUUUUACCUUUCGCCUUCCCCUAUGACUUAGACCUACUUCUACCCUUUUUCUUGUCACUCUUAUUUUGUCCCUUACCACCCCUAGUUUGAAGCCUUCCCCUCACGAGAUGUAUUUCUCCACCUCUUCUCUCGUUUCUUUUAGCUUUAAUUUCUCUCUCCUUACACUUAAGAGAUUCAACUACAAUAUCUGGGGUAAGGAUCUCCCUCCCAUAUUUAAUAGCAUUCUUGACCUCCUUAUAUAUGUUGGAAAUAGCAUUUAAAACAAUGAUAGCUUUAUAUUCUUUGGUAAUUUUUUCACCACAAUUAGUGAUAUCUUGAACAAGUUUAUUGAAAAUAUCAAGAUUAUUAUCUAUAUCUUUUGAGGGGUCAAUUUUAAAGCUAAAGAAACUUUCAAGUAAGAAGAGUUUGUUAGGAGUGGACUCGGUUUUAUGUAAAGUUGGUAAACAUGAUACUACUCAAAAACUUUGGAAAAAACUAGAGUAACUCUGCGAACCAUUAGGCUUAAUACAUAGCGAUAUAUAUGAUCUAAAAUUUAUUCAAAGCCGAGGCGGUAAAAAAUAUUUUAUCACGUUUAUUAAUGAUCGCACUAGAUAUUGUUAUGUGUAUUUAUUAAGUAGUAAAUAUGAGGCUUUGAACGCUUUUGUCACUUAUAAAAAUGAAGUUGAAAAUCAACUUGGUAGGACAAUUAAGGUUUUGAGAUCCGAUAGAGGUGGAGAAUAUGAUUCAUCAUCAUUUGAUGAAUUAUGUGCUAAGUUUGGGAUUAUUCACCAAACUAUAACUCCAUACUCUCCUCAGCAAAAUGGAGUUGCUGAAAGGAAUAACAAAACUCUUAAAGAUAUGGUUAAUGCUAUGCUUAUUAGUUUUGGAUUACCUCAAAACUUGUGGGGGGAAGCAGUGCUUACAGCUAACUUUAUUUUAAAUAGAGUUCCCCACAAGAAGACUGGAUCAGUACCUUAUAACAUGUGGAAAGGUAAAAAGCCUGCAUACAAAUACUUGAAAGUGUGGGGGUGUCUAGCCAAAGUAGCUAUACCACCUCCCAAAAAGGUCAAAUUAGGUCCUAAAACUAUUGAUUGCAUUUUCAUUGGAUAUGGAAUGAAUAGUAGUGCAUACAGGUUUCUCAUACAUAAAUCUGAUAUAAGUGACAUUCAUGUAAACACCAUUAUUGAAUAUAGAGAUGCCAAAUUCUUUGAAGAUGUGUUCCAUUCUAAAGGAGAUAAUGAUAAUACUCAAAAGAGAACACAUGAAACUACAUUUGAGAAGGAUAAAAAAUCUAAACCUAGAAGGAGCAAAAGAGCCAAAGUAGCUAAAUCUUUUGGUCUAGAUUUUAUGAUAUAUAUGGUUGAGAAUGAGCCUCAAACCUUUACGGAGGCUAUGUCUAGCCCCAAAGCUUCAUUCUAGGAGGAAGUUGUUAAUAGCGAAAUAGAAUCCAUUUUAAGUAAUAAUACAUGGCAAUUGGUUGAUCUUCCUUUUGAAUUAAACUAAUUGGUUAUAAAUAGAUUUUCAAAAAGAAGUUAAAGCCCAAUGGUUCAAUUGAUAAGUUCAAGGCUAGACUUGUUGCCAAAGGAUAUCGUCAAAGAGAAGGUAUUGACUAUUUUGACUCUUAUUCACCGGUAACAAGGAUUACUUCUAUCGGGUUUUAAUUGUUGUUGCAGCCUUGUAUAAUUUGCAUAUACAUCAAAUGGAUAUAAAAACUGCAUUUUUAAAUGGUGAUUUAAAUGACGAAAUAUACAUGGAGCAACCUAAAGGCUUCAAAAUAAAAGGACAAGAACACAAAGUGUGUAAAUUUGUCAAAUCUCUUUAUGGUUUGAAGCAAGCUCGUAAACAAUGGCACAAGAAGUUUGAUAGCGUCAUGAUAAGAAACGAUUUCACCAUAAAUGAAUGUGAUAAAUGUGUCUACUCCAAGAAAUUUGGAGAAGCACAUGUACUUGUUUGUCAUUAUAUAGAUGACAUGCUUAUUCUAGGAACCAAUAUGGAUGUCAUCAACAAGACAAAUAAAAUGCUCACCAACAACUUUGAUAUGAAAGAUAUGGGUGAAGCAAAUGUGAUACUGGGAAUGAAGAUCUCUAGAGCACCUAAUGGGAUAACAUUAUCUCAAAGAUUAUGUUGAUAAAGUGAUUGAGAGGUUCAAGUCCUAUGGAAUUAAAGAGACAAAUAAUCCAUUUCUCCCACAUGUUAUUCUUCACAAGAAUACCGAAAAUGGAGAGUUACAGUUAGAAUAUUCCCAGAUAAUUGGGAGCCUCAUGAACAUAAUGAAUUGUACAAGGCUGGACAUAACUUAUGAAGUGAGUAAGUUAAGUAGAUAUACGAUACGAACAUUGGAGUGCUUUACUUAAGAGUACUAGGUUACUUGAAGAUAACCAAAGAGUAUGCAAUACAUAAUGGAAAAUAUCCUCCAAUCAUUGAAGGAUAUAGUGAUGCAAAUUGGAUUUCAGACAAUGAUGAAUCCAAGUCAACUAGUGGUUAUGUAUUUACUCUUGGUGGUGGUGCUAUAUCUUGGAAAUCUUCUAAGCAAACAUGUAUAGCUCGUUCCACUAUGGAAUCAAAAUUUAUAGCUUUAGAUAAAGUUGGAGAAGAAGCGGAAUGGUUAAGACAUUUCAUAGAAAAUAUUCCAAUAAGGCCAAAAUCAAUGCCCACAAUAUGCAUUCAUUGCGAUAGCCAAGCAGCUAUAGCUAGAGCACAUAAUUUUGUGUAUAACGAUAAAUCAUGACAUAUUCGCCGUAAACAUAAUACCGUUCAAUAGUUGCUCUCUAAUGGAACAAUAUCAGUUGAUUUUGUGAAAUCAAAAGAUAACCUAGCAGAUCCAUUUUCUAAGGGGUUAUCAAAAGAGAGAAUAAACUACGCAUUGAGGGAAAUAGGGUUAAAGCCUAAAGACUAAUGAGUCAUCUUAAUGGAAACCUAACCUGGCGACUAGAGAUCCCACAUACUAGGUUCAAUAGGACAACUAGUUAUGAAUGACUCGAUAAACUAGUUAUGAAUGGCUCGAUAAGAAGCACUUAGAAGUUUAACUCCUCCCCAUUACCAUGAUGCAAAUAAGUGCUUGCCUACAAGGGUGUUAAGGAUAAGAUUUGUUUUUACUGAUGCCUAUAGCUUGUAAAAGUACAAGUGGAGUAUGGUAGGAUACUCUUCAUAGGACAUCACCUAUGUGAGUGUGAACUAGGCUGGUUCUAUGAGAAUUGUCUUAGGUGGAUUCUCUAAAACACUUCCAAAACCCAAGAGAGUUUAGGGCCGAAAUAAUGAACACAAUAGAUAAACCAAGACUUGAUAUGAAGCGUAGUAUGUGAGGUCUAUUGUUUGGGCUUGCAAUAAUGAUUGACAGUUCAAGACUCUAAGUUCACUGAUUAGCCAAGUGAGUUCGAUAGGCUUUCACUAGAGAAGGUUCAAAGCGAAAGCUACCUAUCUCGAUGUAUAUCUUUCAGACAAUACUCUUCUUUGUCUUCCUAGUUUUGUGUCAACUUCUUCUAUUCAUGUGGGGGAUUGUUGGAAUUAAUGGGUCUUAAUUAUGUGAAUUGGAAAAGUCUCCAAGACUAGACAUGAUUGUUCAUACAGGGGACGGGUGAGUGGACAUGUUCGUUCGAGUGAGUGGACAUGUCUAUUUGGAUGUGAAAUGUGCAAGAGAAGAGAUAUGUACCUUCGCUAGAGGGUGUAAUCUGGACUGCCAAGUCGCACCCAAAUAUAAAAGGAUGUGAUUUGAAGAUCAAGAUUAAACUGGGUCAAAUAACAUGACCUUUUACAAUUAGACACUUGGAAACUAUAAAUAUGACCCCCCCAUAUUCCAUUUUCUCCAUCCAAAAAUCAAUUUAAGUAAAUUGAUUUCUUUCUUUCCUCCUCCAAUAUACUUCCUUUCUAUGAACUUCAAUUAUUGUCAAGUGUGUGAGAUUCUAAUCUCUUUCCCCUAGUCAACAAAAAGAGUACUAUCAAGUUUGGUUUCACCCGUCAAGGUUAGUAUAGUGUUGCACUAAUUCUUGAAAAAAAAAUGUUGUAUCUUGGAAGACAUAUGUCCAUUGGUCCUUUAGCACCAUUGAGGGGGCAAAAUCUGUCUUAAGGAGAUUCGUUUCGGAACACUUCAUUUCAAUCAGGUUCUACGUUCUUUUUCCAAAUCUCCUUUCAUUAUAUAAUUAUGUUUCCGUUUCAUUGUUAAUGGGUAUAUUAUCCUAGUCAAAUUCAGAUUUUUUACAACACAAACUUCAUUAAAUGGAAACGAGCCCUCAUCUAUUUGUGUUUUAGAGGCAAAAAAAAAAAUAGAAGAGUGAAAAAUGAGCAGAAAUGCAAGGGUGAAGAUAGGGUGAAAACUGAAGGAAGAAGAAGCUGAGCUAUCGCAAUGCUACUGGUUCCCUAUGAACUUCCCAAUAUUCAAGUUUAAUUUCCACUCAUUAACUGCAAAAUACAAAAAGAAUAUCUAUUUGCUGCUCAAUUUAAAGGCACUAAGCAAAUACAAAAAGCUCAGACCUGUAGUUAACAAAAUUGCAAAGUGGCUGCCCUUGCCCAAUUUGGGUCAUCUUGGAUCAGGGAUAGUCGAACUUCAUCAACCCCAAAUGUUCAUAUCUUGGAAUGACUAGAUGCGAGAGUUUUUUUUCAUUGACAGGUAGUAAAUUUGAGCAUGAGAACUCAUCCAACAUAGAUCUCCCUUCAGCUAGCCAAAUCUCUAGGAAGGGAUGAUAUUGACAAGGAGAGCAAUCAAAUGAUGAUGGGUUACAGAGACAGCAAACGAAGGGAUGAUAUUGAGGCAGUUCCAGUGUUUCCAAGUUACUUGCUAUGCAAAGUAUUAUCAAUAUGGUGUUCUGAAUCCCUGUUCCCCUUCCGCAAGGCCUCUCUAGGUGCACAUCAGACUGCCUAAUCCAAAUGAAGUUAAACCUGAAGCUAUGUAAACAUUUAAUCUAUCAGUAAGAUUAGUGAUCCUUGUUUGAGUUGUAAACAAACUUUUUACUGGCUAACUUCCCUGUCUGAGAAUUCUUUUCACUUUCAAUAACAAGAUUUAGUUCCCCAAGUGAAAAUCUA
Diospyros lotus (date-plum) is the source of this 9202-nucleotide long non-coding RNA. RefSeq lists it as uncharacterized. The record is from RefSeq and is a predicted model, not a curated record. The transcript is spliced from 2 exons. Lineage: Eukaryota; Viridiplantae; Streptophyta; Magnoliopsida; Ericales; Ebenaceae.